This 427-nucleotide ribosomal RNA is filed under the name uncultured bacterium. RNAcentral's name for it is "partial 16S ribosomal RNA". It matches the Rfam family "Bacterial small subunit ribosomal RNA", at positions 355 to 774 of the family's 1533-position model. The record is from RNAcentral.
UGGGGAAUAUUGCACAAUGGGCGCAAGCCUGAUGCAGCCAUGCCGCGUGUAUGAAGAAGGCCUUCGGGUUGUAAAGUACUUUCAGCGGGGAGGAAGGUGUUGUGGUUAAUAACCUCAGCAAUUGACGUUACCCGCAGAAGAAGCACCGGCUAACUCCGUGCCAGCAGCCGCGGUAAUACGGAGGGUGCAAGCGUUAAUCGGAAUUACUGGGCGUAAAGCGCACGCAGGCGGUCUGUCAAGUCGGAUGUGAAAUCCCCGGGCUCAACCUGGGAACUGCAUCCGAAACUGGCAGGCUUGAGUCUUGUAGAGGGGGGUAGAAUUCCAGGUGUAGCGGUGAAAUGCGUAGACAUCUGGAGGAAUACCGGUGGCGAAGGCGGCCCCCUGGACAAAGACUGACGCUCAGGUGCGAAAGCGUGGGGAGCAAACA